AACGCACAUUGCACUCUAUUAUUAUGGAGUAUACCUGUUUGAGGACCGGAACGUUCUCAUUGGGACUUGAUCGAUAGAUAAUCAAUCAUGUUCUUAAAAAGUGUCUCGCGAGUGGUGGGAAAAAUUAAUUAUUAAUUAAAGUCACUCGCACUACUCGCAUCUUCUUUGGUCUCAAACAGGUAAGGUUACCCGCUGAACUUAA
This 202-nucleotide unclassified non-coding RNA is filed under the name uncultured soil eukaryote. Its description in RNAcentral is "sequence contains 5.8S rRNA gene, ITS2, 28S rRNA gene". The record is from RNAcentral.